UCGAGCUUUUAUAUGUGACGCACCUGCGCGAGCGUUUAUCCUUGGUAUCAAAGGUCAUUGUGGAUAUUCGUGUUGUCCUAAAUGCAUACAGAAAGGCCAGUCUAAAAAUCACAAAAUAAUUUUUGAUAAAGAAAAUAGUCUUCCUCGAACUGAUACCGAUUUUCGUGCUCGUGUUGAUAGAGCCCAUCAUGUAAUUUUAGAACCGAUGGUAGUUGAAAAGCUUCCAAUAGAUAUUGUUAAAUCGUUUGCUUUGGAUUACAUGCAUGUAGUCUGUCUAGGAGUUACAGAGACUUUAUUGUUGGCCUGGAUAAAAAAACGUAAAAAACGUUAUUCACUUAAACAGAAACAAAUUCAAGCAUUAGAUUCAAGAAUUAUGUUUAUUUGCAAUCAGGUGCCGCGGGAGUUUGCUAGGCACCCACGUUCUUUGAAAGAUGUUUAGCGGUUUAAAGCCACAGAGUUUAGGUGCUUUCUUCUCUAUACUGGAAUAUUUUUACUAAAAGAAAUUUUAGAUCCGGUAAAAUAUAACCAUUUUUUGCUUCUUUCACUAAGCAUUAGGAUUCUUUUAAGUCAAAGUAAUUAUAUUAAGUACAAUAGAUGUGCAAGUCAAAUGCUGGAAAAAUUCGUAGAACUUGUGCCUCAGUAUUAAGAUGAUGAUUUCCUUACAUUCAAUUUUCAUUGCUUAACACAUCUCGCAAGUGAUACUGUAAAUUUUGGAUGUCUUGAAUCUUUUAGUGCAUUUAAAUUUGAAAAUUACUUAUGGAAAUUGAAAAGAAAGAUAAAAAAGCAUAACCAUGUCGUCUCACAAGUAUACAAUCGUUUAGUUGAGGACAGUUUUAGGUCAAACAAUACUAUGAAUCCAUCGACUGAAAUUAAAAAAGGAAAAUUUAGAAAUGAUUCAUUAAUAUUUGUACAAUCUUCAAAGUUUUACUUUUCGCCGAAAGAACCUGAUAACUUUUACAGCGUUAAGGGCAAAAUAUUUAAAUUAGUAGCUAUAAAUAAGGCCACAAAGCUACUUGGAAAGGAAGUUCUGAAUUUACAGGAUUAUUUUGAAACACCUAUCUCAUCAGGAAUUCUCAAUAUCAAGUCAUGUGAAGUCCUAAAAAUUUCGUCUUCCGUCUAUCAUCACAACUUAGAUGAAAUAUCAGAAAAAUUAUAAAAUUUAGUAACUACGAGUCUGACAUCAACUUGUUCAUUCCUUUCCUUCAUUAAUUUUUUUUUUGAUAUUUAAAUAUUUGUAAGCAUUAAUAACAUAUAAACGUACAUAAAUUAUUCGGACAGAAAAUGGAUUUUAACCACAUCAUAGAAGAAGCAUCAGCAAAUACUCCUGUAACUAAAAAAGAUAUUGAUUUGCUUGAGAAAAGGAUAUUGGACCGUAUAAAACAGUCGGAAAAUAAAAUACUGAAAGGAAAGAAAAUGGCUAUGCGACUUUUGUAGCUGCAUAUAUUGGCGUUUUACCAUUCAGUCUAUGUGACAACUUAUGAAACGUCAAAAAUAUGUGUUUUAAUGUUAUUCGAUACGUUUUUGUAUUACAGAAAUAGACCACAAUCAAAAAUCCAUAAAGAAGGCCCUGACACGAAUUUUGCAAGAAACAAAAGAAACAAAGCAGACUACAAAGACAAGCCACAAAUCACGAAGUGAGCUGCUCCUGAAAGUUCCAUUUGAUAACUUGGAACAAUUUCAAAAUUUUGAAAAAGAUAUACAGGAGCAUUCCAGCAAAUUUAAUGAACUGAAGGAGGAAUUUUUCACAGUAUCUGGCCACACAGCUGAAAGGAUCGUAA
Long non-coding RNA from Bactrocera neohumeralis, 1778 nucleotides. RefSeq lists it as uncharacterized. NCBI's taxonomy places the organism in Eukaryota, Metazoa, Arthropoda, Insecta, Diptera, Tephritidae. The record is from RefSeq and is a predicted model, not a curated record. The transcript is spliced from 3 exons.